AAAUUGAAGAGUUUGAUCAUGGCUCAGAUUGAACGCUGGCGGCAGGCCUAACACAUGCAAGUCGAACGGUAACAGGAAGCAGCUUGCUGCUUCGCUGACGAGUGGCGGACGGGUGAGUAAUGUCUGGGAAACUGCCUGAUGGAGGGGGAUAACUACUGGAAACGGUGGCUAAUACCGCAUAACGUCGCAAGACCAAAGAGGGGGACCUUUGGGCCUCUUGCCAUCAGAUGUGCCCAGAUGGGAUUAGCUUGUUGGUGAGGUAACGGCUCACCAAGGCGACGAUCCCUAGCUGGUCUGAGAGGAUGACCAGCCACACUGGAACUGAGACACGGU
Molecule: ribosomal RNA, 333 nt
Filed under: Salmonella enterica
Lineage: Bacteria; Pseudomonadati; Pseudomonadota; Gammaproteobacteria; Enterobacterales; Enterobacteriaceae
Also listed under: 1 other name
Description: partial 16S ribosomal RNA
Rfam family: Bacterial small subunit ribosomal RNA
Source: RNAcentral